CAGCACCUCAAGUGGUCAGGAUGAUUAUUGGGCCUAAAGCAUCCGUAGCCGGCGCUGUAGUUUUCGGUUAAAUCUGUAUGCUCAACAUACAGGCUGCCGGGAAUACUGCAGAGCUAGGGAGUGGGAGAGGUAGACGGUACUCGGUAGGAAGGGGUAAAAUCCUUUGAUCUAUUGAUGACCACCUGUGGCGAAGGCGGUCUACCAGAACACGUCCGACGGUGAGGGAUGAAAGCUGGGGGAGCAAACCGGAUUAGAUACCCGAGUAGUCC
This 269-nucleotide ribosomal RNA is filed under the name uncultured archaeon. Its description in RNAcentral is "partial 16S ribosomal RNA". It matches the Rfam family "Archaeal small subunit ribosomal RNA", at positions 477 to 747 of the family's 1478-position model. The record is from RNAcentral.